UUUCAUUUCUAUAUCAACCUGCAGAUAGUGUUGAGAGAAUAGUAUGAAAGAAUUGAAAUGAGAACACAAUAGUCAACAUACAUAUUUCACUUCUAUACAAUUUAUCAUCCGUGUCGAUAAAAGCGUGCUUUGUUAUCAUACAAGUUGAUGAUGAAGGAAUGACUCUUCUCUUCUCCGUCGAUAAUCUUUGAGAGAGAAACAACUGUUUGAAUGUAUAUAAGUAAAAAUUUUCGUGUUAUGUCCAAGAGAUUUCCAAUGAAAUGAAAUUAAUAUUUCAUAACAACAGAU
Molecule: long non-coding RNA, 288 nt
Filed under: Polistes fuscatus (common paper wasp)
Lineage: Eukaryota; Metazoa; Arthropoda; Insecta; Hymenoptera; Vespidae
Description: uncharacterized LOC122524842
Source: RNAcentral